This 433-nucleotide ribosomal RNA is filed under the name Clostridioides difficile. Its description in RNAcentral is "bacterial LSU rRNA". It matches the Rfam family "Bacterial large subunit ribosomal RNA", at positions 268 to 704 of the family's 2925-position model. The record is from RNAcentral. Lineage: Bacteria; Bacillati; Bacillota; Clostridia; Peptostreptococcales; Peptostreptococcaceae.
CCCAAACCAAUAAAGUUUUCUUUAUUGGGGUUGCGGACAUAUCAUAACGAAGAGGUAUCGUAAUUGAAGAGGUUUGGAAAGACCCACCACAGAAGGUAAUAGUCCUGUAUGUUAAACGAGAAGACUUCAGAUAUGAUCCAGAGUACCACGGGACACGUGAAACCCUGUGGGAAGCAGGAGGGACCACCCUCCAAGGCUAAAUACUACCUAGUGACCGAUAGCGUAUAGUACCGUGAGGGAAAAGGGAAAAGAACCACGGGAGGGGAGUGAAAUAGAACCUGAAACCCUGCACGUACAAGCUGUGAAAGCACAUUUCUUGUGUGACCGCGUACUUUUUGUAGAACGGGCCAACGAGUUACGUUAAGUAGCAAGGUUAAGCACUUAAGGUGUGGAGCCGUAGCGAAAGCGAGUUUUAACUGAGCGUUCAGUUACU